This 708-nucleotide long non-coding RNA is filed under the name Ficedula albicollis (Collared flycatcher). RNAcentral's name for it is "lncRNA (ENSFALG00000024826.1)". The record is from RNAcentral. Lineage: Eukaryota; Metazoa; Chordata; Aves; Passeriformes; Muscicapidae.
AUGCAGGGCUCUCUGUGGGGCAGGCAGAUGCCCUGUGGAGGCCAGGCAUGGCCAUACCAGGAAGGCUCUGCUCUCCCAUGCCCUUUGACACUCAGCCUAUCUCUCUACCCUUCUCAGGGGAGGGACGGCGUGCCUGGACCCCCAGGGCCCCCAGGGCCCAAGGUGGACGUGGUGGAGGGCAGCCUGAUGGGCCUCCCAGGCGAGCGUGGCCCCACUGGACCCAAAGGAGCCAAGGGUGAGCCAGGAGCUGAGGGCGAGCGGGGACCCAAAGGAGAUAAGGGCGAAGGUGGCCUGAGGGGUGACCGAGGGGAGCCCGGUGAGAAGGGCAGGGAUGGCGCCCCGGGUCUCCCGGGCGAGAGAGGGCUGGCAGGCCCUGAGGGGAAGCCGGUGAGUGGGGACACGGUGGGGACAUGCAGGCUGGGACUGGGGGAGGUCCUGUGGUCUCACACCAGCCAUCACCAGAAUCGAUAUGGGCAUUUAUGCCUCAUUCACCUUCUUCUCCCCCCACAUCCCAUGCAGGACCUGCAGAGCUUUAGGGGGCUUCUCCCUAUUCCUACCCCUCCUAGGUGCCCUGGCUGGGUACCACACACUGGGAAUGGGGAGCAGGCAGGGCUGUGUGGAGGGGGUGGGUUUCCACUGUCCACUGACCCUGAUGUGGUUCUUUGCAGGGCUUGCCAGGCUUUCCUGGCAUGCUGGGACGGCCGGUAG